UAUUUAUUUAUUUUUUUUUUUUAUUAUUUAUUUUAGUUUAUAAAAUAAAAAUAAUUGUUUUUUUUUACUGUUAAGGAUUUUAAAUAAUUUUAUAAAAUAAUUUUUAGUACCUUUUGUAUCAGGGUUAAUUUAAUUUUUUAUUUAUAAUUUUUUUCCCGAAUUUAAAAUAUUUAAUUUAUUAUAAUUUUUUAUGUUUCAUAAUAUUAUUUAAAUAUAAAUUUAUAAUUAAAAAGUUAUUAUGUUUUUUUUUAUAUCUGGUUAAUUUGGAUUUAAAUUUAAUUUUAAAAUUAAUUUUUUUUAGUUUAUUAUUUUUCUUAGUUCUUAUUUUAUUGUGGAUAAUCAUAAUAUUAUGUUAAAAUUUUUUUUUUAUUAUUUUUAUUAUUUUUAAUAUCAUUGUUUAAGUUCUUAAUUGAUUUAAUUAUAUAUUUUAUUAUUUUUUUAUAUUUAAUAUUUUACAGAUUUUUAUAUUAAAAUUUUUAUUUAUAUUAAUAAUUGUUAAAUAAGUAUAAUUUUUAAUUUUAUUUUAUGAAUUCGACAGAUAUUUAUUCUUAACUGUUUAUCAAAAACAUUUCUUUUAGUUUAUUUUAAAGGUAAGUUCUGCCCUAUGAUUAAUUUUAAAUGGCUGCGGUAUUUUGACCGUACAAAGGUAGCAUAAUAAAUUGUUUCUUAAUUAGUAACUUGAAUGAAUGAAUAUAUAAAGAAUUAUUUUUAUUUUUUAUAUUUUUAAAAUUUUAUUUCUAAGUUAAAAAGCUUAGUUUUAUUCUUGGGAAGAGAAGACCCUAAAGAACUUUAUUUUUUAAUUAUUAUUUUUUUAUAUUAAUUUAAUAAUUAUUAUUUUUAGUUGGGGUGAUUAAUAAAUUUAUUCUUUAUUAUAAUUUUUCAUUUAUUUAUGUUUUUUUGAUCCAUUUUUAUGAUUGUUAGAAUUUAGUUACCUUAGGGAUAACAGCGUAAUUUUUAUGGUAAGUUCAUAUUUAUAUAAAAGUUUGCGACCUCGAUGUUGAAUUAAGAUAAAAUUGGGAAGCAGAAUUCUCAUAUUUAAGUCUGUUCGACUUUUAAAUUCUUACAUGAUUUGAGUUCAAACCGGCGUGAGCCAGGUUGGUUUCUAUCUAGGAAUAAUUUAAUUUAGUUAGUACGAAAGGACCACUAAAUUGUACAUUUAGUAUAAAAUUUAGA
RNAcentral lists this ribosomal RNA (1173 nucleotides) under Kolla paulula. RNAcentral describes it as "16S ribosomal RNA". Lineage: Eukaryota; Metazoa; Arthropoda; Insecta; Hemiptera; Cicadellidae. The record is from RNAcentral.